GUGAAAUGGGGACUUGAACACACUAUUACUCACUCGGCCACAGUCAUCAUCCAGCAAACAAAAGAAAAUGAGUUUUUUUCACAAAAUGUACUCCUCUUUGUAAACUCAGCUUACACUUGAACAAAACCCACUGUCAUUUUCAUCCUUGAAGAAGAAGCGUUUGCAACUCAUAAAUAAUUUCUGAAAUCAUUGAUUUAUGUUCAUCCACUGUACAAGAUGACAUCAUGCGAUAGUCCAAAACUUUCCACGAAGCAAGUAUUGCCAGCGUCUAGCAUCUGCCGUGACUGGAAUUAGAUCUCAAAAGAGGUCAGUUUUUUAAAACACAGCUUGCAUGCUUGAAUCAGUGGCUUACAAGAUAUUGUUGUUAUUUUAUUGAUUAAAAAUAGCAACAGAUCUGUUUUAAUUAAUGAAUAUGUUGCUGGAUGUUGUUUCUCUUUCGGGUUGUCAGUGUUAAGUUGAAAAAAAAAAUUGCUAGGUAAUGACUAAUAAGAACUAUUGCCUAAUGAUUUAAGAGCUUUGUAAGUAUUAGAUGUAGUUCAUCAAAGAUGGGUUUCGGUUUGCUUAAUUAUAAUGUGAUGAUCUUUCAAAGAAGGUAAUCACAUGUAUUUGCUAAAUAAUAUGGACUGUAAUCACAUGUAAGUUAGGUAUAUUGUUUUACAUACAAUUUUUCCUCCCAUGUGAGAUGUUCUCUGUAUUUUUGUCCAAGGGUUCUAUUUGUUAUGCAAACUAGAAAAUGAUGGAUGUAGUAGGACUAUGAACUUGGCAUGUUAUGAACUCUGAAAAUUACCCUUUUUCCAAAUUCAAAAAGUAUUGACUUGCCAUUUACCCUGUUUGAUUCUAAGUUUCAAACAAGUGUGCCUCAAUCUUAAGUUUAAUUAGAUGUCUGUAUAUAAGAGAUAAUUGUUUGUUGUAUUUCUUAUUUCAAAUUAAGCUUCAAUCUAUCUGCAUGCAACAUUUCAGAAGAAGAAUAAGCAGCUACAGCAAGUCCAUUAAUUUAGGUGUUUCGAGUUUGACCAAGAGAUGCUCUAGAUUUAGGUUUGAUGCACCAACAAAAUUCAAAUAUAUCAAUUAUAGAGCAAGACUUUCGGGACCUGAAACCCAAUUGAAUAUUUUCCUGAUUUGCG
This 1124-nucleotide long non-coding RNA is filed under the name Citrus maxima (pomelo). RNAcentral describes it as "long non-coding RNA (CMAX_LNC001099)". The record is from RNAcentral. Lineage: Eukaryota; Viridiplantae; Streptophyta; Magnoliopsida; Sapindales; Rutaceae.